This 497-nucleotide ribosomal RNA is filed under the name uncultured bacterium. RNAcentral's name for it is "partial 16S ribosomal RNA". It matches the Rfam family "Bacterial small subunit ribosomal RNA", at positions 28 to 507 of the family's 1533-position model. The record is from RNAcentral.
GAUGAACGCUGGCGGCGUGCCUAAUACAUGCAAGUCGAGCGAACAGACGAGGAGCUUGCUCCUCUGACGUUAGCGGCGGACGGGUGAGUAACACGUGGAUAACCUACCUAUAAGACUGGGAUAACUUCGGGAAACCGGAGCUAAUACCGGAUAACAUGUUGAACCGCAUGGUUCAACAGUGAAAGACGGUCUUGCUGUCACUUAUAGAUGGAUCCGCGCCGCAUUAGCUAGUUGGUAAGGUAACGGCUUACCAAGGCAACGAUGCGUAGCCGACCUGAGAGGGUGAUCGGCCACACUGGAACCGAGACACGGUCCAGACUCCUACGGGAGGCAGCAGUAGGGAAUCUUCCGCAAUGGGCGAAAGCCUGACGGAGCAACGCCGCGUGAGUGAAGAAGGUCUUCGGAUCGUAAAACUCUGUUAUUAGGGAAGAACAAAUGUGUAAGUAACUAUGCACGUCUUGACGGUACCUAAUCAGAAAGCCACGGCUAACUACGUG